Molecule: ribosomal RNA, 405 nt
Filed under: Triticum aestivum (bread wheat)
Lineage: Eukaryota; Viridiplantae; Streptophyta; Magnoliopsida; Poales; Poaceae
Description: partial small subunit ribosomal RNA
Source: RNAcentral
AUGGCCAUGGCCACCGGUAGCAGCUGUUCGCGACAGGCAGCGGCGCCGGCGAGCAGCGGCAACACACAACGGGAGCAGCAGUUAAAAGCAGCAGCAGGAGGAGGAAACGGCAGCAGCGUAGCCGCAAGUAGGCAGCAGGAGCAGCAGCUACGGGAGCAGGGGGCACGGACGUUGCGGGCGCGGAGCAGAGGGCAGCGGGCCGGGGCGAGGCUGCACGCAGGAGGCAAGGCCGAUUCAGGGGGCGGCCGAUGGCAGCAACAUCGCAGUAGCCACCAGCGGGGCGAGCAGGGGGCGCCGAGGCGCAGCAGAGGCGGCCGGCCGGAGUUCAGGCAUGCCGCGGAAUCGGAGCUGCGGGGCACGGGGAGAUGGUUUGGCGAGUGCCGCGGGUUCCUGGGGAGCCAAUGA